CGGCCGCCACGGCGAGCACGCUGGUGGCCACGGUGGCCGCCUCCCGCUCCGCGGUGGGGCGGGGGUUGCCGUCCGGGUCGGCGAGCAGCCGGCC
This 94-nucleotide transfer RNA is filed under the name Micromonospora fulviviridis. RNAcentral describes it as "tRNA-Pro". The record is from RNAcentral. Lineage: Bacteria; Bacillati; Actinomycetota; Actinomycetes; Micromonosporales; Micromonosporaceae.